CCUACGGGAGACAGCAGUAGGGAAUCUUUCACAAUGGGCGAAAGCCUGAUGGAGCAACGCCGCGUGCAGGAUGAAGGCCUUCGGGUUGUAAACUGCUUUUAUAAGCGAGAAAUAUGAUGGUAACUUAUGAAUAAGGAUCGGCUAACUACGGGCCAGCAGCCGCGGUCAUACGUAGGAUACGAGCAUUAUCCGGAGUGACUGGGUGUAAAGAGUUGCGUAGGUGGCAUAAUAAGUAGCUAGUGAAAUCUGGUGGCUCAACCAUUCAGACUAUUAGCUAAACUGUUAAGCUCGAGACCGUUAGGGGUAACUGGAAUUUCUAGUGUAGGAGUGAAAUCCGUAGAUAUUAGAAGGAACACCAAUAGCGUAGGCAGGUUGCUGGGACGGUUCUGACACUAAGGCACGAAAGCGUAGGGAGCAAACGGGAUUAGAUACCCUGGUAGUC
This 442-nucleotide ribosomal RNA is filed under the name uncultured bacterium. Its description in RNAcentral is "partial 16S ribosomal RNA". It matches the Rfam family "Bacterial small subunit ribosomal RNA", at positions 338 to 795 of the family's 1533-position model. The record is from RNAcentral.